RNAcentral lists this ribosomal RNA (515 nucleotides) under Bacteroides sp. HGA0082. RNAcentral's name for it is "bacterial SSU rRNA". It matches the Rfam family "Bacterial small subunit ribosomal RNA", at positions 66 to 571 of the family's 1533-position model. The record is from RNAcentral. Lineage: Bacteria; Pseudomonadati; Bacteroidota; Bacteroidia; Bacteroidales; Bacteroidaceae.
GGGGCAUCAGGAAGAAAGCUUGCUUUCUUUGCUGGCGACCGUCGCACGGGUGAGUAACACGUAUCCAACCUGCCCUUUACUCGGGGAUAGCCUUUCGAAAGAAAGAUUAAUACCCGAUGGCAUAAUGAUUCCGCAUGGUUUCAUUAUUAAAGGAUUCCGGUAAAGGAUGGGGAUGCGUUCCAUUAGGUUGUUGGUGAGGUAACGGCUCACCAAGCCUUCGAUGGAUAGGGGUUCUGAGAGGAAGGUCCCCCACAUUGGAACUGAGACACGGUCCAAACUCCUACGGGAGGCAGCAGUGAGGAAUAUUGGUCAAUGGGCGCUAGCCUGAACCAGCCAAGUAGCGUGAAGGAUGAAGGCUCUAUGGGUCGUAAACUUCUUUUAUAUAAGAAUAAAGUGCAGUAUGUAUACUGUUUUGUAUGUAUUAUAUGAAUAAGGAUCGGCUAACUCCGUGCCAGCAGCCGCGGUAAUACGGAGGAUCCGAGCGUUAUCCGGAUUUAUUGGGUUUAAAGGGAGCG